AUUGAACGCUGGCGGCAUGCUUUACACAUGCAAGUCGAACGGUAACAGGCCUUCGGGUGCUGACGAGUGGCGAACGGGUGAGUAAUGCAUCGGAAAGUACCCAGAGGUGGGGGAUAACGAAGUGAAAGCUGUGCUAAUACCGCAUGUGAUCUGAGGAUGAAAGCGGGGGACCGAGCAGCAAUGUUUGGCCUCAUGCCGUUGGAGCGGCCGAGGUCGGAUUAGCUAGUUGGUGGGGUAAAGGCCUACCAAGGCGACGAUCCGUAGCUGGUCUGAGAGGACGACCAGCCACACUGGGACUGAGACACGGCCCAUACUCCUACGGGAGGCAGCAGUGGGGAAUUUUGGACAAUGGGCGCAAGCCUGAUCCAGCAAUGCCGCGUGCGGGAAGAAGGCCUUCGGGUUGUAAACCGCUUUUGGCAGGAACGAAACGGUGUCCGCUAAUACCGGGCGCUAAUGACGGUACCUGCAGAAUAAGCACCGGCUAACUACGUG
Molecule: ribosomal RNA, 492 nt
Filed under: uncultured bacterium
Lineage: Bacteria
Description: partial 16S ribosomal RNA
Rfam family: Bacterial small subunit ribosomal RNA
Source: RNAcentral